AGUGAACGCUGGCGGUAGGCCUAACACAUGCAAGUCGAACGGCAGCACAGGAGAGCUUGCUCUCUGGGUGGCGAGUGGCGGACGGGUGAGGAAUACAUCGGAAUCUACUCUGUCGUGGGGGAUAACGUAGGGAAACUUACGCUAAUACCGCAUACGACCUACGGGUGAAAGCAGGGGACCUUCGGGCCUUGCGCGAUUGAAUGAGCCGAUGUCGGAUUAGCUAGUUGGCGGGGUAAAGGCCAACCAAGGCGACGAUCCGUAGCUGGUCUGAGAGGAUGAUCAGCCACACUGGAACUGAGACACGGUCCAGACUCCUUCGGGAGGCAGCAGUGGGGAAUAUUGGACAAUGGGCGCAAGCCUGAUCCAGCCAUACCGCGUGGGUGAAGAAGGCCUUCGGGUUGUAAAGCCCUUUUGUUGGGAAAGAAAUCCAGCUGGCUAAUACCCGGUUGGGAUGACGGUACCCAAAGAAUAAGCACCGGCUAACUUCGUGCCAGCAGCCGCAGUAA
Molecule: ribosomal RNA, 506 nt
Filed under: uncultured bacterium
Lineage: Bacteria
Description: partial 16S ribosomal RNA
Rfam family: Bacterial small subunit ribosomal RNA
Source: RNAcentral